This 238-nucleotide long non-coding RNA is filed under the name Lathyrus oleraceus (garden pea). RNAcentral's name for it is "Pisum sativum (pea) long non-coding RNA (PSAT_LNC037705)". Lineage: Eukaryota; Viridiplantae; Streptophyta; Magnoliopsida; Fabales; Fabaceae. The record is from RNAcentral.
UUUUUCCUUCCCAAAUCAAUAUCAUUUUUACUUUUAUUUUUUCAUAUAAUCUUUAUUAUUUUUAUUGUAAUGACUAAGUUUUUUUCAUCUGCUUUAUUUGUUUUUUUUAAUUAUUAUUUUUAAAAUUUUGACGUCACUUUUUAAUUAUCUUAGUAUUUUUUAUUUAUAAUAACUUUUUUUAGAUAUUAUUGUGUUUGAUUAUCUUUUUAAAUUGUAUAUUAUUAUCUUUAUGUUUUUA